RNAcentral lists this ribosomal RNA (253 nucleotides) under uncultured bacterium. Its description in RNAcentral is "partial 16S ribosomal RNA". It matches the Rfam family "Bacterial small subunit ribosomal RNA", at positions 524 to 776 of the family's 1533-position model. The record is from RNAcentral.
UACGAAGGGGGCUAGCGUUGUUCGGAAUCACUGGGCGUAAAGCGCACGUAGGCGGAUGUGCCAGUCAGGGGUGAAAUUCCGGGGCUCAACCCCGGAGCUGCUCCUGAUACUGCACGUCUGGAGACCGGUAGAGGCUGGUGGAAUUCCCGGUGUAGCGGUGGAAUGCGUAGAGAUCGGGAAGAACACCCGCGGCGAAGGCGGCCAGCUGGGCCGGUUCUGACGCUGAGGCGCGAAAGCGUGGGGAGCAAACAGG